CAAGAUUAUUAAAAGUAGUUUGUGGUGAGUGGAUGUCGAGUGAAGAUGGGUAAAGUUGUUUACAAAGUAUUACUAAUGCUAUCAACGAUAGCCUGUGUUUAUUCACAAUUUAACUUUUACCAAGACAAACCCGGAUCUUGUCCACCGCCAUUACCUGUGCAAAUUUGUUCUAAGCCGUGCUUGGUUGAUGCACACUGUCAGGGAGCUGGUAAAUGCUGCCCGACAACCUGCGGAGGAUUAAUUUGCUCCAGACCUGUUACCACAAGAUCCGAGGAGACCGAAAAACCGGGAUCGUGUCCAGCAGUUCCUACCGGCCGUUGGGUUUGUUCGCCGACUUGUACUAUUGACAGCGACUGUCAAGGCUCUAGGAAGUGCUGCAAGAACCGCUGCGGCGCCUUAGCUUGCCAGAAACCGGACAUUAAUGUUGUUGAAUCGAUUGAACCAACAGUUGAUCCGAAGCCUUAUGAUAUUGAUAGAGAUUUGUCUGGAUUCAAUCCUAACAAUCCAUUUUUGUUUGAUAGAAGUAACAAUAAUUAAUUGAUGAUACUAUUGAAGUUUUUUUAUUUUAUAAGUUUUUAAGUUCAAACUAGUCUCAUUUCAAUAAGGUGCAAAAUAUUUUAUAUCUAAAUGUUUUUUCUUUUUAUACUUUAUAAUUUAUAACAUUCUCUUAUAAAAUUGCUGAUGAUAAAUUAUUAGAUGAUAAUCUGAAGAAUCAAUCAAAACUCUCAGAUAAGUUUGGAUUUCGUAUAAAAUGUCACGAAUUGAAAUAUCUUAAUUGAAAGUUUGAUUAGAUCCUACACAGAGAAAAAAUUUCUUUGUUGGAGAGCUAAUUUUUUUUAACGGAAGAAAUUAUAUAGGAAAACGAAAAUUCUUUUGGCUGAGAAGUUUUGAACCAAAAAAAUUUCUUCUUACUCCAAAACAACUUAAGUAUACCAAAAAAUGUUUUGGGUUUGAAUAAACCUUUUUUAACUUCCCACUUUGAAAAUUAGUAGUUUUCAAAAUUAAGAAAAUAUUGAUAUAUCGAUAUCAAUAUCAAUAUAUUGAUUUAAUUUUUUUCUGAGUACAUCCUUUAAUUACAUUAGCAAACAAUACUCAGAAUUGUUGAAAAAAAAUAAAUGUAAAUACUAAGAAUUGUUGAAAAAAAAAAUGUAUGAAGUGUAAACUUUUUUAUGCAAAAAAUUAUAUUUACAAGUGUAUAUGUAACAUGAGUGGGAAUGGAAACACUUAGGCAAAGUGUUAACAUAUCUAACAACUGUGUUAUAUGGUCUAAGUAGUAGUAAUAAUAACACAGAUGCAAAUAAUACUCGUGCAAUGAUAGAAUGAGUCAUCAGACAUUUAUAAUAAAGUUGUUAUCGCGGUCAAGAGCAAGAUUUUAUUUUUUCCGCUCUUCAUCAUCAAGUCGCACACCUUCACUUAAUGUAAUUUUUUAUUUCAUCACCGGUUCACGCUGAAAAAAUAUGCUUUCGAAAUAUCACCCAGUUGUCGUAUUUCAAUGGGAUUUCCCCGCGAUCAAUAACAGUAAUCUAAAAAACUUGUCCAAGAUUCAGCUUUAAAUUCAUUGAAAAAUUUUAUCUGCAAAAUUCGGAAUUUUAUCAGUAAAGUUUCAUUACAAAAAAGAUCAUAAAAAGUUUGGAAAAUCCAAAAGUGCACGCCUCAUAAUCUCAUUUUUUACAAUAAAAUUGAUUAUAAUAAAAUAUAAAAAGCAAAAGGAUAAAAAACAGAAAACUGCUAUAGUUUAGGGGCGCCGUAACUCUAAGGUGAGGAAAAAAAAUACUAUAAUAAAAUGUAUAGAUAGAUAUACAAAAAAAUCCUCAGUCAUAUAUUAGUUUUUUAUAAAUAAUAAUUUAACGGCAGUGAAUUGAACGCUCAUAUUAAUUAAGAAAAUCCGUCGUGUGUUACUUUAGAUAAUAAAAAAAAAAUUAUUCCGGUACGAUCAUUUUUUCGACCAAUUUCCCUGCCACAUACACCCAUUUAUACACGGACGUCCAGAAAAGAUUAUGUUUAAUGUUAUUAUCUACUAUGUUAAAAAAAAAAAAUUGUUAUUGAAAUAUAUUUUAUGUGCCUGACAAAUUAUUUGACUUGAUAUAAGUGUACUCAUAUUAACCUGUAAGUGCGAUAUAAAU
This 2123-nucleotide unclassified non-coding RNA is filed under the name Cotesia glomerata. RNAcentral's name for it is "wAP four-disulfide core domain protein 2-like, transcript variant X2". Lineage: Eukaryota; Metazoa; Arthropoda; Insecta; Hymenoptera; Braconidae. The record is from RNAcentral.